UUCAAUUGGGCAGAAUCGCAAUCUCUUCUAGGGUUUCAAGAUUCCUUAUUAACACUUAUUUCUAUUCUCAAUUUGAUUCUUUGCUGAUUUGGGGAUUUUAUUUCAGAUCUGAAAAUUCAAAAUCUAAUCUUUUAAUUUUCUGUUUCGUUUCAGAUCUAAUUGUUUAGGGUUUUCGUAGGAGUUUCUCGUGACUUGGCAACUCGAUCUUGGUCCGCG
RNAcentral lists this long non-coding RNA (216 nucleotides) under Gossypium barbadense (sea-island cotton). RNAcentral's name for it is "long non-coding RNA (GBAR_LNC013594)". The record is from RNAcentral. Lineage: Eukaryota; Viridiplantae; Streptophyta; Magnoliopsida; Malvales; Malvaceae.